AUUGAACGCUGGCGGCAUGCCUUACACAUGCAAGUCGAACGGCAGCACGGGAGCAAUCCUGGUGGCGAGUGGCGAACGGGUGAGUAAUAUAUCGGAACGUGCCCGGUCGUGGGGGUAACUAGCGAAAGCUACGCUAAUACCGCAUACGAUCUACGGAUGAAAGCGGGGGAUCGCAAGACCUCGCGCGAUUGGAGCGGCCGAUAUCAGAUUAGGUAGUUGGUGAGGUAAAGGCUCACCAAGCCGACGAUCUGUAGCUGGUCUGAGAGGACGACCAGCCACACUGGGACUGAGACACGGCCCAGACUCCUACGGGAGGCAGCAGUGGGGAAUUUUGGACAAUGGGCGCAAGCCUGAUCCAGCAAUGCCGCGUGCAGGAUGAAGGCC
Molecule: ribosomal RNA, 384 nt
Filed under: uncultured bacterium
Lineage: Bacteria
Description: bacterial SSU rRNA
Rfam family: Bacterial small subunit ribosomal RNA
Source: RNAcentral